UUGGACAUUCAUAGUUACUUGGGACAACAGUUUUAGCAGGGCUCUCUUUCUCCUUUCCUGAUCUCUCUGUUAAGCUGCCUGGCUCAUUUGAUAUCACAUCCAAAUUAUCAGCUGAUUGCUCUAUUGUUUUGGACAAUGCCCUGAAGCAUACCAAAAUGUGUCUGGAAUUGGUGGGUUCUUGGUCUUACUGACUUUAAGAAUGAAGUUGCGGACUUUUGCGGUGAUCCACCCUACCACAUAUUGUCUCCUAAUGGCCGUCCAGUUUAUCCUGGAGCCCUUGCAUGACACAGGCCUAUCGAAGCAUAGGAGAUGCCAAUAUUUUACCUCUUGGGUACUUUCUGUGUAGAAGAUUCAUAACAAGAACAAUACUUAUUCUGCAAUUCUUUAUAUAAAGCUAAAAGAAAAUGCAUUCUGCCAACAACUAAUGAGCUUGGAAGAGAACUCCAAACCCCAGAAGAGGCCUGUCACAUUGGCUAACACCUUGAUUUCCACCCACUGAGACCUUGAGCAGAGACUUCAGUUACACCCCACCCAGACUUCUGACCUGCAAAACUUAAGAAGAAAGCCCAAAGACAAAACCAGAGGCAACUGGCUGCUGCAUCGCCCACCUAGUGGCAGUAGUGUGAGCUAUGGACAAAAGAUCUAAGUCUCCAGGACAAAGAGUUGUGCAGCUGCUCAUUUUCCUGUUGACUUCUGUCUAAGACUUGGAGAUGUUUGUAAGAUUGGGACCUACCUACAGAGGUAUCACACUCCUCUUGGUCUAACUCACUCUUGAACUGACAUUCGUGGUGA
This 792-nucleotide long non-coding RNA is filed under the name Homo sapiens (human). Its description in RNAcentral is "OBI1 antisense RNA 1". The record is from RNAcentral. Lineage: Eukaryota; Metazoa; Chordata; Mammalia; Primates; Hominidae.